This 465-nucleotide ribosomal RNA is filed under the name Vreelandella stevensii. Its description in RNAcentral is "partial 16S ribosomal RNA". It matches the Rfam family "Bacterial small subunit ribosomal RNA", at positions 338 to 795 of the family's 1533-position model. Lineage: Bacteria; Pseudomonadati; Pseudomonadota; Gammaproteobacteria; Oceanospirillales; Halomonadaceae. The record is from RNAcentral.
CCUACGGGAGGCUGCAGUGGGGAAUAUUGGACAAUGGGCGAAAGCCUGAUCCAGCCAUGCCGCGUGUGUGAAGAAGGCCUUCGGGUUGUAAAGCACUUUCAGUGGGGAAGAAAGCCUUGGGGCUAAUACCCUCGAGGAAGGACAUCACCCACAGAAGAAGCACCGGCUAACUCCGUGCCAGCAGCCGCGGUAAUACGGAGGGUGCGAGCGUUAAUCGGAAUUACUGGGCGUAAAGCGCGCGUAGGCGGUCUGAUAAGCCGGUUGUGAAAGCCCCGGGCUCAACCUGGGAACGGCAUCCGGAACGGUCAGGCUAGAGGGCAGGAGAGGAAGGGAGAAUUCCCGGUGUAGCGGUGAAAUGCGUAGAGAACGGGAGGAAUACCAGUGGCGAAGGAGGCCUUCUGGACUGACACUGACGCUGAGGUGCGAAAGCGUGGGUAGCAAACAGGAUUAGAUACCCUAGUAGUC